RNAcentral lists this microRNA precursor (127 nucleotides) under Myotis brandtii (Brandt's bat). RNAcentral's name for it is "mir-9193 microRNA precursor family". The record is from Rfam by way of RNAcentral. Lineage: Eukaryota; Metazoa; Chordata; Mammalia; Chiroptera; Vespertilionidae.
CCUGCACUGGUGGGGUCCCUCGGCCUGGCUUGUGGGGAUUGGGCUAAAACUGUCUCUCCAACAUCCCCCGAGGGGUCCCAGAUUGCGAGAGGGUACAGGCCAGGCUGAGGGACCCCACUGGUGCACA